This is a long non-coding RNA of Xyrauchen texanus (razorback sucker), 5338 nucleotides long. RefSeq lists it as uncharacterized. Lineage: Eukaryota; Metazoa; Chordata; Actinopteri; Cypriniformes; Catostomidae. The transcript is spliced from 4 exons. The record is from RefSeq and is a predicted model, not a curated record.
UGUUUCUCUGUAUAAGUGUUCAGCUCAAGGGAAGUGCAGGAAGUGUAGCAGCUCAGACACACUCCGGCACUGUCAGACUGUACUUCCUGCAUCCUCAUCCCUUUCUCCCGUUUCCCCUGUCUUUCUCUCCCUGCUCAUUCCAGUGAUCCUUGUUUCAUUCUUUUAGUGUGUUGUCUCUUCGUUUCCUCUCUUCUAUUCUGUUACAUCUAUUUUUCUCUCAAAUCCCCUCUUUGUCAUUCCUCUCUGCAUUUUACUACUUUUUUCUGUCUCUAAAAUCCGCUUUGCCAAAGUUACAAGGGAAAAAAUGGGCUGUGGAAAUUCCACUGCUGCCACCACGGCUGCAGAUCCAGCUGAGUCAGCUAAAGAUGUGUGAGUACUACCGAAACACCCCCUUACACAAAUGUUACCAUGGUAACCAUAUCUAGCAAAUAGAUAGUUGAAGUACUACAUCUAUAGUGGCCACUAAAAGAACAUACAUUUGACUAAAUGACCAAGAUUCUGAAAGCUUGUUAUUCUGACGGAGAUAUUAUUUAUUAUUUAUCAUGGUUUUGUAGCAGUAAUGGUUACUAAUAAUAUUGAGGCGUAAACUGUGGUUACCAUGGUAAUUAUGGUAAUAAUAAAGGGAUAACAUGGUUAUUUUUUUUGUUUUUCUGAAAUCACAAAACAUUUUCAAAGGCUUUGACAUUAGAGAAAGAGGAUGAGAUAAAUAAGUAUACAAGCAAUUUUCGCAGUGUCCUUCAGUUUUUGGAACAGUUUGUCAAUCAGAUUCAGAAAGAAAGAAAAAAACUUGAGUUUGAACACGGUCAUUUCCCAAAGAGUUCCUGGAAUUAUUUUUCUACACAUGAACAACAAGCACCCUCUCAGCAGGAAAGAGCCUUGUACACGGAUAUCAGGGCCCUGCCUGCCACUGAAAAACACACAUUUAGCACAAUAAAAUGCCAUCCCUGCAGUUAUGUGGUACAUUAAGUGUCUCUCUUCAAAACUGUGGCACUUAUCAAUACUGAAAAUGCGAUGACAAAUUUGAUAAUGCAGAUUUCACACCUGUAAAUCAAAAAUCUCUUUUAGAUGGUAUCUCCAAACGAAUGACAAUUUGACACAAGACCCUCGACACUUUGAUAAAGUUAAACAAAUAAAUUGCCAAAGGUAGGAGGUAUUAAUGCUUCAGUCGUUCAAUCCACAAAACUGCCUCUUGACUCAUUCAUUCUCAACAGGGGAGUAAAGGAAUACAAGUAACGGGAUUACAUAUUUAAAAUACAAAAUAUAAGUAACUGUGUUCCACUACAGUUACAAUUUAAAUCAUAGAUAAUUAGAAUACAGUUACAUUAAAAAAAAAUUUUGAUUACUGAAGAAAUUACUUUUUAUUUUAUUGUCAUUUGUUUGAUUUAAUAUUUAGUCCUUUCAGGUGGAAAACAUUUAUAAAUAUAAAUUAUGUGAUUUAAAAGUGCAUUUGAACAGCGGUGAAACACUUUCUUAUGAUGUGUUACAUUCAUACGAGCAGACAGAGAAGUUAGUUUGAAGUAAGUUUGGAGCAGAAUAAAUAGAAAUAAUCCUUGAGUAACUUGUCAGUUUUACACUAAGCUAAAAUGCUAUUUCUAGGCAUUUUACAUGCACAUGUUACCAGAUAUGAUCAUAUUUUUUUAUCAAGAAAAUUCACAUUGGAUCGUUCACAUUGGUCUUACUGUACUGACAGAGUUUUUAUAUUCAAAACAAGUGAAAAAAUCCACCAGUGCUGAAGAAGUAAUCCAAAGUAUUUUGAAUACAUUACUGACCUUGAGUAAUCUAAAGGAAUGUGUUACAAAUGACAUUUUAUAGCAUGUAUUCUGUAAUCUGUAGUGAAAUACAUUUCAAAAGUAACCCUCCCAACCCUGAUUCUCAAAUAGGUUGCUAAAAGAUUUGUUUUUUUUGCCUUUUACAUCAGUCGUCGGAUCAGCUCUUGUUUCUUUUCUGGUUCUGAGUCCACAGGCAAGACGAUUCGUCUCCAGAUAAUGAGAAGAGAAUGAACUAUGGUGGUGUGUAUGUAGGUUUACCUGCAGACCUCAGUAACGUGGCCAUUGGCCAGAAACCCUCUACACAGACAGAAUAAUGAUAUUCAGAGCUGAAAGCACAGAUGAAGCGCUGUCCGGAGGGAAUCUUGGCUCUAAAGUGCUGUGUAAUAAUCUCAGCAGGACGGAACCUUCAUCAUUGUUGAUUGGCUCAUUGGGAUAUGAUGGAACCCUCAGAGAUCCAAUUAUCUAAUUUAACUCUCUGGAGACUGAACUGGAUUUAGUUCUGCUGAUAAUGUCAGAGGUCAGAUUAAAAAAAAAUGCACAGUCAGCAUAUUUAAUAAGGGUAAUUGCUACCAGCACCUUGUUCCUCAGGCAGCUUACUAAACCACAUGUGUAAAUGACAAUCACAGUGCCACAAAAAAAAAAAAAAAAGGCGUUUGUGUCUUUUAGUGGCCAUAAUCGUGGAACACUGUGCACUUUUUGGUCAGCUCUUGGAAGUCAAACCUCAAGGUCUUAUGACCUUCUCACUGUUACUCUCUACAUGAUACAUGUCAAGUAUGGGGUGUCACGAAGGCCUUACUGUUUCAAAGGGAUAAAAGGGACUCAAGAUUGGACUCUGUCCAAUCUUGAGUGUUUUGGUUCACUCACCCCUUUCAAAGUGAUCCAAAAUCUAUCAAAAUUAAACAAACUCCUUUUAAAUACUCUUCUCUGAUCUAAACAGGGAGGUAUAUUAUGUAUAAAACAGAAUCCAUUUGAUGUUUUCAAACACACAUGCAUGAGCACUAAAGUGGUAUUUCAAGUACUGUACCUUUAAAAGUGUGUGUUGUUGUAUUGAUGGAUUAGAUUGCUACUUUCAAGCCAUGUACUCUGUUGUGUAGUGGUGAAAACUGUUUAAGAUUGUGUUUUAGGUCCUUUAAUUUCUUUGGUCCAAUUAGAAUGACCUCCUGAAGAACGGCACAUUUUUUUUAAAUGAGUGUAUCUCUAGCACGCCUGACCUUGGAAGAGAACAUCAAGGACUGUGUAAGUAGGCCAGCACUCACACUUUUAAGCAUCAGGUCAGCUGGAUCAAGACUUAGGGGAAGAAAAAUGGAGAGUUACAAAAAGAGACAGCGUGAGCCACAGUUUGUCUCAGCAGGGACAAAAUGAGAGACCAAUUUGUGUGGCAUGGAAUGAUGCCAGCUGACAUCGCAGGUUCUAGAUGAACUCCCAUGACAUUUAUUCUCUCUUUAUCAAAACAGACCUCUCACUCUCACUCUCUUCUGUAUGGACCUCUUGUCAAUCAGUACAGACUUUCAGUACAAUGUAAAUGUGUUUAACUAACUGUAAGAGAAAGUAUAAAUUGAGCAGUUGUGUGGCAUUUUUUUGGGCAAGGAUUCAAUUAUUUUUCUAAAAUUGGAAGACACGCACCCCUGCUCAAACUCAACCAUUCUGGAGUGUGUCAAUGCUCUAUCUCACAUCACAGGUGACAUAUUCUAAAAAUGUGUGUAGUUCUCAGGAACAGCUCUCACCAGCAACAACUUCAUAUGUACAGCAGAAGUUCUACUCUAAGCAGUUGUCUCUCAUCCUGGCUAAAUUACUCACUUUUGCCACCAGCAAUUCACCUCGACUGCCCGUAUAAAUGUAAAAUGGGUGGGACAUCCUAAGCCUUGUUCACACAAGCAGUGACAUAACCGCUUAAUGUCGCUGGUCCUUGUACUCUUUUGUACAGUAUGUCUCUAGCAGUUCUGGGUAAGUAACCAAAAAAGUAAUCUACUAAAAAUGACCAACUACUUCUUUAAAAUAAUAAUCUGUUUACUUUACUAAUUACUACAUGGAAAAGUAAUUACAUUACAUAAACUUUACUUUUAAGUUACUUUCUAAAACACUUCUGUUUUUCCACUCAAAACAAUUCAAAAUUAUGUUUUUAUUUCCUCGUUCUAUGUCGCACACACUUCAGCUGUCCAAAAAAUGCAAACAGACAUUCAUAUGAACAUAUGAAUUCAUAUUAUAAAUGUAUUUUACAAAUUACAAAAAAAUGUGUAAACCAAGUAAUGUACUUGAAAGUAAUUAUCUUCAUUGAAAGUCAGUAACUGUACUCUGAUUACAAGUUCUUAAAAUGUGAUGUGUUACACUUCUUUUUUUGUAUAAAAAGCAAGUAGAUUACAGUAACUAAUUACUUUAUCAGAUUACACCCAACACUGGUCAAAUGUAAGCAUUGCUGUCACACUUAAGUUAUUGGUGGACUGCAUGUCUCACCAUAUAUUUUACAAAUCGGAUCAUAGAUGAGACAUAUUGCAGGUAAAAUUAAGAUAUUCUAAUUUGACAAGGAAUCGGUUAUCUUGUUGCUUAAAAUGAACAUUCUGCAUGGGAAGAGUGUUUUUAUAUGAACUGCAGCAGUGCUCAUUGGAUCGUAUCAUUAACAAGAUGAAUAAUCUUACAAUAUACAAAUCAAACUUACUCAGAAUUCUGACAGUUUCUUUUCCACAAAUAUUUUUUUAUUAUAUCCAUGCAUGUGGUUAAAGACAAAUCAUCUAGAACAGUGAAAUCUCUCACUGAAAUGUUAACUUCUCAUCCGCCUUGCCUGCACUCCAUUAUCACACAUGAGACAGAUGACGUGAGCUCCACUGGCACGUCUUCUCGCUGUCGCUCAUGUUACUGGAUGUCAACAGCUUUCACUGAAAAUGAAUGAGAUCAUGUCGCUUAGUUGCUGUAAGUCGCUGCAUGUGUGAACAUGGCUUGAAUUGACCUAUGAAAGAUGGGAGGGGCUUCAAGGAAAACUGUUUGAAAAGAGUAAUUACUUUUGAAAUUCCAUUUCGAGCCACAUGGGGCAGUGAAAUUACACACUUCACCAAACCUUUUUCAAUAAAACUUAAAAAAAAUAUAUAUAUAUAUAUUUGUCAAAUUGUAUCACCUUAUGAGGGCAUCCCACAUUAUUUAAAAAUGUUGGUGGUAGUAAAAAUACUCUUGCAAAUUAAUACUUUAAGGAAACGUUUGUCAUUCAGAUGUCUGCAGCUGUGAAUAAAAGCAUUCAAUAUAGUCUUGAAUGGAUUUGAACAAUUUGAUGCCAAAUGGCAUUUUAAAACUCCAUGAUGGUCAGUUAUGCACUCAGGAAUAUAGAAACCAAUUCUGAAAUCAUAUUGAUUGUAAACUGCUCCUUUGAAGCCAGUCAGAGAAGCAGUCUAGAAAUUACUCAACCUGAUCUACUGUAGUCAUGUUUUUCCCAUUAGACCAGGUAGAAAUUGUAAUAUUACAAAAUGCUUUCAGAUCUUUCAUUUACUUUAAUAUUAGGCAUUAAUAAGAUGAAUACGUUCUAUGCUAUUGUAUUGAAUUGUAUACACUAAUUCCAUGUUUUACAAUCAAUCUCUUCAACUAAU